RNAcentral lists this ribosomal RNA (457 nucleotides) under Heterosigma akashiwo. RNAcentral describes it as "partial Bacterial small subunit ribosomal RNA". It matches the Rfam family "Bacterial small subunit ribosomal RNA", at positions 327 to 776 of the family's 1533-position model. Lineage: Eukaryota; Raphidophyceae; Chattonellales; Chattonellaceae. The record is from RNAcentral.
CGGCCCAGACUCCUACGGGAGGCAGCAGUGGGGAAUAUUGCACAAUGGAGGAAACUCUGAUGCAGCCAUGCCGCGUGUGUGAAGAAGGCCUUAGGGUUGUAAAGCACUUUCAAUGGGGAGGAAAGGUUGUAAAUUAAUACUUUAUAACUGUGACGUUACCCAUACAAGAAGCACCGGCUAACUCCGUGCCAGCAGCCGCGGUAAUACGGAGGGAGCUAGCGUUGUUCGGAAUUACUGGGCGUAAAGCGCGCGUAGGCGGAUUUGUCAGUCAGAUGUGAAAGCCCUGGGCUCAACCUAGGAAUUGCAUUUGAUACUGCGAGUCUAGAGUAUGGUAGAGGUGAGUGGAAUUCCAGGUGUAGCGGUGAAAUGCGUAGAUAUCUGGAGGAACAUCAGUGGCGAAGGCGACUCACUGGAUCAAUACUGACGCUGAGGUGCGAAAGCGUGGGGAGCAAACAGG